Molecule: ribosomal RNA, 2928 nt
Filed under: Bacillus velezensis
Lineage: Bacteria; Bacillati; Bacillota; Bacilli; Caryophanales; Bacillaceae
Description: 23S ribosomal RNA
Rfam family: Bacterial large subunit ribosomal RNA
Source: RNAcentral
GGUUAAGUUAGAAAGGGCGCACGGUGGAUGCCUUGGCACUAGGAGCCGAUGAAGGACGGGACGAACACCGAUAUGCUUCGGGGAGCUGUAAGCAAGCUUUGAUCCGGAGAUUUCCGAAUGGGGAAACCCACCACUCGUAAUGGAGUGGUAUCCAUAUCUGAAUACAUAGGAUAUGAGAAGGCAGACCCGGGGAACUGAAACAUCUAAGUACCCGGAGGAAGAGAAAGCAAAUGCGAUUCCCUGAGUAGCGGCGAGCGAAACGGGACCAGCCCAAACCAAGAGGCUUGCCUCUUGGGGUUGUAGGACACUCUGUACGGAGUUACAAAGGAACGAGGUAGAUGAAGAGGUCUGGAAAGGCCCGCCAUAGAAGGUAACAGCCCUGUAGUCAAAACUUCGUUCUCUCCUGAGUGGAUCCUGAGUACGGCGGAACACGUGAAAUUCCGUCGGAAUCCGGGAGGACCAUCUCCCAAGGCUAAAUACUCCCUAGUGACCGAUAGUGAACCAGUACCGUGAGGGAAAGGUGAAAAGCACCCCGGAAGGGGAGUGAAAGAGAUCCUGAAACCGUGUGCCUACAAGUAGUCAGAGCCCGUUAACGGGUGAUGGCGUGCCUUUUGUAGAAUGAACCGGCGAGUUACGAUCCCGUGCAAGGUUAAGCAGAAGAUGCGGAGCCGCAGCGAAAGCGAGUCUGAAUAGGGCGAAUUGAGUACGUGGUCGUAGACCCGAAACCAGGUGAUCUACCCAUGUCCAGGGUGAAGUUCAGGUAACACUGAAUGGAGGCCCGAACCCACGCACGUUGAAAAGUGCGGGGAUGAGGUGUGGGUAGGGGUGAAAUGCCAAUCGAACCUGGAGAUAGCUGGUUCUCUCCGAAAUAGCUUUAGGGCUAGCCUCAAGGUAAGAGUCUCGGAGGUAGAGCACUGAUUGGACUAGGGGCCCCUACCGGGUUACCGAAUUCAGUCAAACUCCGAAUGCCGAUGACUUAUCCUUGGGAGUCAGACUGCGAGUGAUAAGAUCCGUAGUCGAAAGGGAAACAGCCCAGACCGCCAGCUAAGGUCCCAAAGUAUACGUUAAGUGGAAAAGGAUGUGGAGUUGCUUAGACAACCAGGAUGUUGGCUUAGAAGCAGCCACCAUUUAAAGAGUGCGUAAUAGCUCACUGGUCGAGUGACUCUGCGCCGAAAAUGUACCGGGGCUAAACGUAUCACCGAAGCUGCGGACUGUUCUUCGAACAGUGGUAGGAGAGCGUUCUAAGGGCUGUGAAGCAAGACCGGAAGGACUUGUGGAGCGCUUAGAAGUGAGAAUGCCGGUAUGAGUAGCGAAAGAGGGGUGAGAAUCCCCUCCACCGAAUGCCUAAGGUUUCCUGAGGAAGGCUCGUCCGCUCAGGGUUAGUCGGGACCUAAGCCGAGGCCGAAAGGCGUAGGCGAUGGAUAACAGGUUGAUAUUCCUGUACCACCUCCUCACCAUUUGAGCAAUGGGGGGACGCAGGAGGAUAGGGUAAGCGCGGUAUUGGAUAUCCGCGUCCAAGCAGUUAGGCUGGGAAAUAGGCAAAUCCGUUUCCCGUGAAGGCUGAGCUGUGAUGGCGAGCGAAUUAUAGUAGCGAAGUUCCUGAUUCCACACUGCCAAGAAAAGCCUCUAGCGAGGUGAGAGGUGCCCGUACCGCAAACCGACACAGGUAGGCGAGGAGAGAAUCCUAAGGUGAUCGAGAGAACUCUCGUUAAGGAACUCGGCAAAAUGACCCGUAACUUCGGGAGAAGGGGUGCUCUGUUAGGGUGCAAGCCCGAGAGAGCCGCAGUGAAUAGGCCCAGGCGACUGUUUAGCAAAAACACAGGUCUCUGCGAAGCCGUAAGGCGAAGUAUAGGGGCUGACGCCUGCCCGGUGCUGGAAGGUUAAGAGGAGCGCUUAGCGUAAGCGAAGGUGCGAAUUGAAGCCCCAGUAAACGGCGGCCGUAACUAUAACGGUCCUAAGGUAGCGAAAUUCCUUGUCGGGUAAGUUCCGACCCGCACGAAAGGCGCAACGAUCUGGGCACUGUCUCAACGAGAGACUCGGUGAAAUUAUAGUACCUGUGAAGAUGCAGGUUACCCGCGACAGGACGGAAAGACCCCGUGGAGCUUUACUGCAGCCUGAUAUUGAAUGUUGGUACAGCUUGUACAGGAUAGGUAGGAGCCUUGGAAACCGGAGCGCCAGCUUCGGUGGAGGCAUCGGUGGGAUACUACCCUGGCUGUAUUGACCUUCUAACCCGCCGCCCUUAUCGGGCGGGGAGACAGUGUCAGGUGGGCAGUUUGACUGGGGCGGUCGCCUCCUAAAAGGUAACGGAGGCGCCCAAAGGUUCCUCAGAAUGGUUGGAAAUCAUUCGCAGAGUGUAAAGGCACAAGGGAGCUUGACUGCGAGACCUACAAGUCGAGCAGGGACGAAAGUCGGGCUUAGUGAUCCGGUGGUUCCGCAUGGAAGGGCCAUCGCUCAACGGAUAAAAGCUACCCCGGGGAUAACAGGCUUAUCUCCCCCAAGAGUCCACAUCGACGGGGAGGUUUGGCACCUCGAUGUCGGCUCAUCGCAUCCUGGGGCUGUAGUCGGUCCCAAGGGUUGGGCUGUUCGCCCAUUAAAGCGGUACGCGAGCUGGGUUCAGAACGUCGUGAGACAGUUCGGUCCCUAUCCGUCGCGGGCGCAGGAAAUUUGAGAGGAGCUGUCCUUAGUACGAGAGGACCGGGAUGGACGCACCGCUGGUGUACCAGUUGUUCUGCCAAGGGCAUCGCUGGGUAGCUAUGUGCGGACGGGAUAAGUGCUGAAAGCAUCUAAGCAUGAAGCCCCCCUCAAGAUGAGAUUUCCCAUUCCGCAAGGAAGUAAGAUCCCUGAAAGAUGAUCAGGUUGAUAGGUCUGAGGUGGAAGUGUGGCGACACAUGGAGCUGACAGAUACUAAUCGAUCGAGGACUUAACCAA